GCUGGGCGUGGUGGCUCCCACCUGUAGUCCCAGCUACUCAGGAGGCUGAGACAGGAGGAUUGCUUGAGCCCAGGAAGUCAAGGCUGCAGUGAGCCAUGAUCACACCACUGCACUCCAGCCUGGGUGACAGAGUGAGACCCUGUCUCAA
Molecule: non-coding RNA, 148 nt
Filed under: Homo sapiens (human)
Lineage: Eukaryota; Metazoa; Chordata; Mammalia; Primates; Hominidae
Source: Rfam by way of RNAcentral